Molecule: unclassified non-coding RNA, 466 nt
Filed under: Hevea brasiliensis (rubber tree)
Lineage: Eukaryota; Viridiplantae; Streptophyta; Magnoliopsida; Malpighiales; Euphorbiaceae
Source: RNAcentral
AAAUUAUAGCUCAAUAUAGAAAAGAUGGGGUAAUAUCUUGAUUUUUUUUUAAAAAUUUUUUAAUUCAUUUGGCUCUGAUUGCAACUCGAGAUCUUGCUGUCCUAGAGAUGACAUUUAUUUAGUUCUCAACUUCUUUUCUUCAAGGUGACAUUUAUUUCAAUGGGUUACUUAUUUGCGGUAAUUGUUUUUAGGAUGCCUUGUCAGUUGCUGCACAAGCAAGAAACAAGGUUGUGGACAGACAUGAAAAACUGGAGGUAUGAUGUUGAAGGAUUAGCAUGGAGCUUAUUUUAGUUUUUAAAUAGGGCAUAUCAACUUUUGUUUGGAAACUAACCUACCACAUUAUUAUUUUGAGUGGCAAUGGUGAGAGAAAAGGCGAUAAUUGUAGUCGUGGCAUUAAACUCGAUUUUGCUCUUGUAUUUCAUCAUCUCUAUCCAAAAAAAAACUUGUUAAGGCAAUGGAGAAUCGA